GCCUUCCUACUGUAACUGGAAGCAUACUCGACUCGUAUUCGAGAGGUCCAGAGUUCGAAUCCUGGCGAGGGCA
RNAcentral lists this transfer RNA (73 nucleotides) under Stegodyphus mimosarum. It matches the Rfam family "tRNA". Rfam says of the family: Transfer RNA (tRNA) molecules are approximately 80 nucleotides in length. The record is from Rfam by way of RNAcentral. Lineage: Eukaryota; Metazoa; Arthropoda; Arachnida; Araneae; Eresidae.